GGGCAAUUUGGUAAAGUAGAUUUAAUUAUCAAUAUAUCCAAGUUGAGUGGACUUUUGCACUUCAACAAAAUCAAAAAAAGUAGUACUACUCAACUUUCCUUUUUGCUUGUCCAUUUCUAUCUCUUUCUCUGUAAUUCACCCUCUCCAUUUGCAAGAUCUCUUAAUUGAAGAGGUUGUGCUUUAAUUUCCAAUGAGAAUUGUGAAACCUUUGAGCGGCUUUUCAAGCAAUGGCUUAUUUGUAUGGGUGGGAAGGCACCUUAUGCAAUUUUGACUGACCAAGCUGUUGCAUUCAGAAGGCCUUUAAGGUUGGUAAUGCCCGAAAUGAAAAAUCGAUGGUGCAUUUGGCAUAUAAUGCAAAAAUUUGGAAAAAAAAAAUUUAGGAAAGCACUCAAGUUAUGAAAUUUUGAAGGAACAAUUGAAGCAAGCAAUCUAUGAUGGUUUUACCGUAGAAGAGUUUGAACAACAGUGAGCAUAGGUAAUUAAGACUCACAAUGUUGAGUCUGAUAAGUUGCUCGAGGAGUUAUUUAAGCAGAGUACGAUGUGGACUCCGGUUCGUAUUCGUGAUACAUUUUGGGCUGGUAUGAUGACCACAUAAAGGGUGGAAAGCAUUAAUGCUUUCUUUGAUGGUUUCCUUAAUAGCAAAACCAAACUAUAUGAAUUUAUAGCGCAUUAUUGUUCAACAAUGGGCAAAAAGGUGGAGGAUAAAAAGGCUGCUGAUGCCUUGAGUGCCAUGAGACAUAGAAACCUAUCCAUGGGAUAUGUUGCUGAGAAAUUUUUUCGAAAGAUAUACACGGAUUCCAAGUUUCGAGAAGUCCAAAUUCAAUGUGAGAGGGUUACUUACUGCAACUCACGAGAGGAGACUAUGAUUUCUGCAAUUGAGGUAAGACAUGUGAUAGAGGAUCGACUUUGGGUUGUACCAAAAGGUACCUCCAAAGAAGUUGUCACCAAACAUAAGCGGUCCUAUGGUAUAACUUUUAACCACCAAAGUCUUGUGAUGGAUUAUGAUUGAAAAUUGUUUGUGAACAUGGCAUUAUGUGUAGACACAUGAUUCGGUUAUUAGAUUGGUAUGAUAUUUCUAUAAUUCCAGAUAUGUAUGUUCUUAAGCAAUGGAGGCGAGAUAUCCGUAGGAAGCACACACUAGUGAAGGUUCCGUACCAUGAUCCUUUCAACACUGUAGAAGGCAUGCGACAUCAUAAAAUGCAUUUGGAGUUUGAGCCAAUUUGUGAUGAAGCAGAUGAUGGUGAUGAUACAGUUCAGCUAGACAUUGAUGCCUUGAAAGAACUACAUAUGAAGUUGAUUGAGAUCAAAGGUAAAAGGAUUGUACUUUGGCAGAGGACAAUAUCCCAUCUUUAGUUGCUAACUUUGAUACUUAGUAGCCACCGUGCAAUCAUUAGUUGCUAAAGUCAAUUCUUCAACAAAUUCAUUGUCAACAACCAUCAAAUGGGCACACCAAGUGUUAACGCUAGUACAAACCACCUAAAGGAUCCAUCAUAUAAAAAGAAAAGAGGUAGGCCCGUGACCAAUCGACUACAAGGUGCUCACGAGAAGGGUGCUAAGACCACUAAAGGCAGGAACGUCGGAGGAUCCCAAGUGCAACAAUUGAUGGAAAAUUUGGAUUUCCAAUCAUUUGGAGGUAUUCAAUGUCAAAUGCCAUAUGUACAACCUAUGUAUUACACACCGUUCUCAUUUAAAAACUCAUACAGAUAUGGAAACAGUCAAGGGGUUCAAAAUGAAGGAAGUCGGGCUAAUUUUACUUAUGGUGAAAAUAUGCUUAUAUAUCGUAAUCUAAGCUAAAAAUGAUAUACAUAACCUCAACCAUAUAAGACUUUGGCCAUUUAUUUUGUUAUCGGAAGUGGCAUUACGGGAAUGUGGAAACUUGACCUUUUGUCUUAUGUUUUGGUAUAGUUUUUUGCACUUAAUGUAUGUAUAUUAUAAGCUAAUGUAAUGCAAGGGUAUGUUUACUUGCACCUAAAUAUAUUAUAAGCUAAUGUAAUGUAAGAAUAUGUUUAUUUGCACCUAAUAGUAUAUAUUAUAAGCUAAUGUAAUGCAAGAAUAUGUUUAUUUGCACCUAAUAGUAUAUAUUAUAAGCUAAUGUAAUGCAAGAAUAUGUUUAUUUGCACCUAAUAGUAUAUAUUAUAAGCUAAUGUAAUGCGAGGGUGUGUUUUUUUGUACAUAAUUGUAUAUAUUAUAAGCUAAUGGCAUUUAAGGGAAUGAUUUUUUGUAAUCUGA
Long non-coding RNA from Amaranthus tricolor (Joseph's coat), 2229 nucleotides. RefSeq lists it as uncharacterized. The transcript has 3 exons. NCBI's taxonomy places the organism in Eukaryota, Viridiplantae, Streptophyta, Magnoliopsida, Caryophyllales, Amaranthaceae. The record is from RefSeq and is a predicted model, not a curated record.